AAAUUGAAGAGUUUGAUCAUGGCUCAGAUUGAACGCUGGCGGCAGGCCUAACACAUGCAAGUCGAGCGGUAGCACAGAGAGCUUGCUCUCGGGUGACGAGCGGCGGACGGGUGAGUAAUGUCUGGGAAACUGCCUGAUGGAGGGGGAUAACUACUGGAAACGGUAGCUAAUACCGCAUAAUGUCGCAAGACCAAAGUGGGGGACCUUCGGGCCUCAUGCCAUCAGAUGUGCCCAGAUGGGAUUAGCUAGUAGGUGGGGUAAUGGCUCACCUAGGCGACGAUCCCUAGCUGGUCUGAGAGGAUGACCAGCCACACUGGAACUGAGACACGGUCCAGACUCCUACGGGAGGCAGCAGUGGGGAAUAUUGCACAAUGGGCGCAAGCCUGAUGCAGCCAUGCCGCGUGUGUGAAGAAGGCCUUCGGGUUGUAAAGCACUUUCAGCGGGGAGGAAGGCGAUAAGGUUAAUAACCUUGGCGAUUGACGUUACCCGCAGAAGAAGCACCGGCUAACUCCGUGCCAGCAGCCGCGGUAAUACGGAGGGUGCAAGCGUUAAUCGGAAUUACUGGGCGUAAAGCGCACGCAGGCGGUCUGUCAAGUCGGAUGUGAAAUCCCCGGGCUCAACCUGGGAACUGCAUUCGAAACUGGCAGGCUAGAGUCUUGUAGAGGGGGGUAGAAUUCCAGGUGUAGCGGUGAAAUGCGUAGAGAUCUGGAGGAAUACCGGUGGCGAAGGCGGCCCCCUGGACAAAGACUGACGCUCAGGUGCGAAAGCGUGGGGAGCAAACAGGAUUAGAUACCCUGGUAGUCCACGCCGUAAACGAUGUCGAUUUGGAGGUUGUGCCCUUGAGGCGUGGCUUCCGGAGCUAACGCGUUAAAUCGACCGCCUGGGGAGUACGGCCGCAAGGUUAAAACUCAAAUGAAUUGACGGGGGCCCGCACAAGCGGUGGAGCAUGUGGUUUAAUUCGAUGCAACGCGAAGAACCUUACCUGGUCUUGACAUCCACAGAACUUUCCAGAGAUGGAUUGGUGCCUUCGGGAACUGUGAGACAGGUGCUGCAUGGCUGUCGUCAGCUCGUGUUGUGAAAUGUUGGGUUAAGUCCCGCAACGAGCGCAACCCUUAUCCUUUGUUGCCAGCGGUCCGGCCGGGAACUCAAAGGAGACUGCCAGUGAUAAACUGGAGGAAGGUGGGGAUGACGUCAAGUCAUCAUGGCCCUUACGACCAGGGCUACACACGUGCUACAAUGGCAUAUACAAAGAGAAGCGACCUCGCGAGAGCAAGCGGACCUCAUAAAGUAUGUCGUAGUCCGGAUUGGAGUCUGCAACUCGACUCCAUGAAGUCGGAAUCGCUAGUAAUCGUAGAUCAGAAUGCUACGGUGAAUACGUUCCCGGGCCUUGUACACACCGCCCGUCACACCAUGGGAGUGGGUUGCAAAAGAAGUAGGUAGCUUAACCUUCGGGAGGGCGCUUACCACUUUGUGAUUCAUGACUGGGGUGAAGUCGUAACAAGGUAACCGUAGGGGAACCUGCGGUUGGAUCACCUCCUUA
This 1540-nucleotide ribosomal RNA is filed under the name Klebsiella pneumoniae. RNAcentral describes it as "bacterial SSU rRNA". It matches the Rfam family "Bacterial small subunit ribosomal RNA". The record is from RNAcentral. Lineage: Bacteria; Pseudomonadati; Pseudomonadota; Gammaproteobacteria; Enterobacterales; Enterobacteriaceae.